RNAcentral lists this long non-coding RNA (2958 nucleotides) under Homo sapiens (human). RNAcentral's name for it is "HSALNT0349216". The record is from RNAcentral. Lineage: Eukaryota; Metazoa; Chordata; Mammalia; Primates; Hominidae.
CAGUCAACGGAGGGCAGUAAGCAAAUUAGUGAUAGAAUCAGACUUGUGUUUUGAAAAGCUCAUCCUGGCUGCUGUGCUUAGAAUAGACUGUGUUGUAGAAAAUACAAACAGGGAAGACCCCAUAGAAAGCUGACGCCAUAUUCUAGGUGAGAAACUAUGGAAAUUUGGACCAAGGUGAUAGAAGGGGAGGUGGUAAGAAACAGUCACAUUCUGUAUACAUUUUAAAAAUAGAACAAAGGAUUGGCUGAAGGAUUGGAUAUGAGAUGGGAAAGAAAGAGAGAGUUCAAGGAAAAUUGCAAAGUCUCUGGUUAUCAUGAGGAGUAUGUGAGAUCCCACAUAUAAAGUAUCAAACAUAAUGCCUAGGACAGAGUGAAUGCUAAAAAAGGGAUAUUCUGGUAUACAUUUCAGUGUGUACAUCUUAACUUAUUCACCCAAUAAUGGCUAUGAAUUCUAUCUAUAUAAUCAGUUUCUGUUCAGGAACAUGAAUGUAAAUUGCAAAGUAGUUUAUACAUUAAAUUCUCAUAGUAGGAAUUCAAUAAAGAUUUGAGAGAAGACGUUUACACUUGGUACCCGUCAAUAUUGGGCAACCACCAACUAUAUUUGGUACUUAACGAGCCUUUAUAGAAGUUCCCAAAAUGUAAAAAUGAAGAGAACUAGAAAGAUUAAGAUAGAAGAGUUUAAAAAAUAUAUGUUCAUGCAGGAGAAAAGUGAAGGCUUUUCAAGGUUACUAAGGUAAGUCUAAGGCAACGAUUCCUAGAGCAAAUCAAGGGGCUGUGAAAGCUAAUGGACAUAGCUCAAGAUUUACUUUUGGGUUUGGAGAAACUAACAUUGAAUUGGCUAUUUCCAAUAAUAAAGUCAUUAGCCCAGGGAAGGAAGAUGAAAUAUAAAAGGAACGUUUAGGUACAGAAAAGUAUAUUUUAAAUUAUCUUUUGGUUGAGAAAAUAUUUCAGAUAAAUGCUGAUGAAAUAAAUCAGCAUUUUAUUUCAGUUUUUUAAUGGUUUUAUAAUAACAGUGAAGGGAUUUAUUCUCUGCCUGUUUACUAUGUUCACAUGGAGAUCUUAAAUGUUUGCCAGAUAUAGUGGAUAGAUUAAAAGAGCCACCUUGGUAAGAACUGAACUAUUUUGUUAUAUUACUGUUUUUAUAAAUGCUGUUAUAUUGCUCUGUAACACACAUUCAUGUAAAGUAUUUGUUUAUAUUUUUAAAAGUAUAUAUAAUGUCUGAGUAUGCAUUUCAGUAUUUCACAGAAACAAAUUAGAAAAGUCACUAAUUUUUGAAAACACUGAAGAACUGAGAGAGCAGAAAUCACUAAAUAAGGAUAUUGUCUGCAGUGAUUAAAAUGGUGGCUAACAGGGAUCUCCAACUGUUGCACCUUUCUUCAAAGAUACGGGCUUCUACAAGGUUUUCAUCAUAGCUACUACAACAGGAGGUCCAGUAGCUCUGGGCUCAAUGCCAAAGCAACCAGAUCCAUGGAGUCUCUGGCCUCUACGUGGCUAACCAGAAGGCUUGGCAAAUUCAGGCUGGAAAUACAGAACAUGUAAUAGUUUGUCGGACAACUUUUAACCCAAUAUGGACAAGAUAUGGGAAGAAGCACACAAUCUUUUCUAGGACACAUCAUUUUAAGGGAAGAUGGGAGAGAUAUGAAGAAGCAGCUGUGGAGAUGCAACGCUGGACAUGAAAUGGGUGUGGAAGACAACGGAAAGCCAGUUGGUCAAGACCCUUGGGAAGAAAAGAAUCUUUAAAAGGUCUCUGUUAGCGUGGGACUAAAUUGUAAUCAGACAUUGUGAAUAAGAUGAAAUACUAAAGAAAGAAAGAAAGAAAAAUAUAGGGCACAUACAGAACUGAUCAAGAAGGGAUUAUCAAGAGACAAUUACUCAACUACCCAUUUGCAAGUGAGCAUAUUCUCACCCAACACUGUUUUCAGUUAUGAUUGAAUGGAAGCUCUAAUUGAAUAGUUCUUUGUGGUGUUCAAAGUCCAAGACAGCAAGUUGUUCUUUUGUAUGGGUUCAUAAGUUUUCCCAGAAUGAACUGUAAAACACUCAUGAUUUCCCUGAACUGUGGCAAAGUGACUUACCCAGUUUCUGGCAAAUUUAUUAAGCAAUACAGACUCCCUGCUUAAUCCAUUGGUUUAAACAAUAUUCAGUUAACACAAAUUAGUGAAUAAGCAGAGACAUAGGUCAGCUGAUCGAAGAAAGAUGUAAAAGUAAAUUAAAAUAAAAUUUAUUUGAAAACAGCAAUGGGUCAGAGCUAAAGCCCAGUACAAGUUAGAACAAAUAAAAACCCAUUAAUCUGAAAAACCUUCUUGGGUUUACAAGAAGGCUUUUCUGAUCUCAGGCUGUAUUUAUCCUCUAGAUGGAAAAAAAAGAGGAGCAAUAAAUCUCUUCAUAUCAAAGGCCUGUUCAGCAGAAAUGAAUUGAAAGUGUUGGGUCAAUUAGACUGAACUAGAUCUCCCCCAGGCAAACCUACUAUCGAUACAUAUUUAGCUUCCAGACACCUUUAAAGGCAGCCUGGGAAAGGCUGGCUAGCAAAGAAAAAAAAAGAUAAUUCUAAAAUUUGAGUUCCCUUUGAACUCCAUCCACUACAGCAAUAAAAAGAGCUGUUUCUGCUCUAUUGCAUUUUGUUGAAACAAAAAAAAAAUAGACUGGAGAAAUGAAUAAGCUCGGCAUAUUAUGUAGAUAAAAUGGUAUUAUGGCAAGAGAAUGAAGAACAAAGAGCUAAGAACCAGAUUCCUGUCGCAGCUCUGCUCUCAUAGCUGUGUGACUUCUGGUCAGUCCUUAGACUUUGAAAUCUAUAGGCUACAUGUCUGGAAAUAAGAGGAUAACAGAUUAUUCUUAAGUUUCUCUGUGAUUCAAAAAUAUCUAUGAAUCUAAAGGAAGGAAGACAGUUAUGUGGAUUGGUUAUUGGAAAAGAAUCUAAAGUAAUUGUUUCAUGUAUGCAUAAAAGGGAAGAUCCAGCUAUAAA